CUCGGACACAUGCUCAUGGAGCCCGUGGCUGCCCUGUGAGAAAUCCAGCUCCGCUGAGAACACUGCCUCAGAAAGGCUGCAUAUGGGCACUCUGGAUAGCAGCCCAGCUGAGCACAGGCUUCCGUCAUCCCAACCCAGACCCAAAUGUGCAAGUGAAGUGGCCUCCAGAUGACUCCAGUCCCAGCCAUUUCGUCUUUCCAGCUGAUGUCCCAGAUGUCACAGAGCCAGACAGAAUAGGAGAGUCUGAGCUGUGAAAGAAAGGGAGAGACA
RNAcentral lists this long non-coding RNA (270 nucleotides) under Homo sapiens (human). Its description in RNAcentral is "HSALNT0323002". Lineage: Eukaryota; Metazoa; Chordata; Mammalia; Primates; Hominidae. The record is from RNAcentral.